Molecule: long non-coding RNA, 656 nt
Organism: Callorhinus ursinus (northern fur seal)
Lineage: Eukaryota; Metazoa; Chordata; Mammalia; Carnivora; Otariidae
Source: RefSeq, a predicted model, not a curated record
GCCGCGGCUGUGAGCCUGCGCGUCAGUGCCGCUGGCCUCUCCUUGGCUGUUGGAGGUUUGAGAAACACUGCUUCAAAGGAUUGGUAGGAUUUGGAUAUGUGAGUAAAGGAAGAGGAAGCUGCUGGUGAAGAAGUCCUUUUAAGACAUUGAAAAUAUAGUGAAGAAAGGAGGUUAGCACAACAUUGCCAAUGGCUUCCUGGCGAACAGUGAAGUUCAGCUAGGCUGGAGCACUAGGAAUGUGAAGAACAGAGUAAGAUCCAGAAAGUCAGAUCAGCAUUGAAACAUUGGCUCUACUUGGGUCUUGAGCUUGCAAUCUCGUGGACUAGAACUACACCAGCAGCUCUCCUGGGUCUCCAGUUUGCUGGCUGCAGAUCUUAGGACUUCUCAGCCUCCAUAAUUAUAGAAGGCAUUGGGAGACCAAGAAAUAUUAAUGAACAAAGUUCAAAGUCACAAAGCAGAAGAAAACUAGAACCUGGAUCUGAAUUCAGAGGCAUAAUUCUGGGCAAGUCUGGCAGGAGUUAUCAUUGACCCAUCCGUGGGAACUGGUGCUUAAGGACAGAGCUUCAAUCCCUGUGAAGACCAGAGGAACUGGGAUACCCAGCAGGAAACACAGGGUGGAGACUCAGGCGUGGGAAAACGACAAGGACAAAUCUUUU